Molecule: ribosomal RNA, 319 nt
Filed under: uncultured Thalassomyxa
Lineage: Eukaryota; Endomyxa; Vampyrellida
Description: SSU rRNA
Rfam family: Eukaryotic small subunit ribosomal RNA (bases 104-319)
Source: RNAcentral
AACUUUUGGCUUGGUGAACCCAGCCCGGCCUCUAGUGGGUCGUGUGUUGGUGUGCGCGGGCCAUUCUUCUGGAGAGUAUUGCUGCCCUUGAUCGGGUUGGUGAUAUGAUUCAGAUCAUUUACUGUGAGUAAAUCAAAGUGUUCAAAGCAGGCUUUAGGCUUGUAUGGUUCAGCAUGGAAUAAUAAGAUAAGACUUCGGUUUUAUUUUGUUGGCUGUAGAACCAAAGUAAUGAUUGAUAGGGAUAGUUGGGGGUGCUAGUAUUCAAUGGUCAGCGGUGAAAUGCGAGGACCCAUUGAAGACUAACUAAUGCGAAAGCAUU